UUUGAGUAAAAAACAUAACCCAUGCCAGCAAAGACAUAUCCAUCAGUAUUCCCCACUGCCCAUUGAGACAGUCUGUGUCCUUACUCCUCAGACACCAAAGCAUACAGCACUCUUCUUAAAGACAAGGCAUUUGGAACUGUAGAUAUUGGAUUGGCCCCACUUUUUACAGCCCAAAACCAUCUGGUUCGCCAUUUUCCACGCGCAGUUCAUGCCCUUCUGGAUGACCCUUCUAGGUGCCUAAAUUGAAACAUGGAGGCAACGUUGCAGAACUGAGAAGACAUCCGGCCUAUCAAAAUGAGCAGAGUUUCAGACCUGUUCACCCUUUUCCAUUGACUUUCCAAAGCAAUGAGAGUAUGGAAGGGACUGCAGAGAUUUUUGAGAGGGAUGUUUUCCAUCUUCCCUUGUUGCCAAUUGAGAGGACAAAAUUCGAAAGACAGGUUAUUAUAUCAAUGAUGAUGAAGUUGAAGCCAACAGUCUAGUCUAGUGUCUAGUCUACCUGAAGUGGGAAGAGUCAGCGUCCCAAAUGUCCAUUCGGGCACACUGAUUGGUUGAAAGGAACAGCCUUUUUUUUGAUGAUGAAGAUGAUGAAGAAGAAGAAGAAGAUGGUGGUGGUGGUGAUAUAGAGAGCAAUAGUGAUGACGUUUUUUUGUAGGCACUAACUCUGCCAUGGUUCAUUGAACAAAGCCUAUGUGAAAAUGAAUGGUUUUUGUAGGGUUUUUGGAUAAACACGAAAAUAAAGUCUGUGGUAAACACAGGCUUAGGAGAUCUUAUACAUUUUUGUUGUAUGAGAUAAUCUUCAUCAGCUAACAUCACUUUUUGUUCAUUUUUAAGCAUUUAUGUAACUUAAAAAACAUAACGCACUUAAAGACUUUGUAAUUCAUUAAGUUCAUGUUAACUGACUGACACCUCAUAGAACAAAACGUAUAAGAUCUCAUAAAACUGUUUUAACCUCAGACCUUAUUUUCGCCGUUUAUUCCAAAACUCUAUUCUUUCCCCAUAAAUGUUGUGAUGAUGAUAAAGCCUAUGAAUUGCACUAUCAAAAUAUACUGUAUAUAUUAUUAUUUUGACCCCCUUCGGUUACGUGGUGGGCUAAGUCACUCAUGUCAUGUCAGAUGCACAACCGUGCUGCGCGACUGUCAGCGUUGCGGUCUCAUACGACACUGGAGACUUUGGCGCCAUCCCUGCGGUCACCACUUCUGCCGUGAGUGCAUGGAUCAGAUCACAGAUGAUGGUUUCCGCGACAUCGAGGUGCUUAGCUCAAAUCCCUGUCCACAGUGUAAAUCAGUUAUAGCCUACUAAAUCUGUAACCGUGACUGUAUAUUAGUGCCUUUUUCUGAGUUUUUGUAACCUUUUCUUUUUCUAUGCACUUUGUAUUCCCUGCAUGUCCCUAUUGCCCAGGCAAUUCAACAGAACUACGGUAUCAUCAAGACAAAGAACAAGCAACACUAUCUCGCCAUUUAACUCGUCAAUCAGAUCAGAUUUUCAUUGUCAUCUUUUGGACAUUCUACGCAUUAAUGAAUGUGUGUAGUAGGCCUAGGUCACAGUCAAUGACAUUAAUAUAUCUUAAUAUAACAAUCUUAAUGAAGCUGAUGCUAAGCUCCAUCCAAUACAAAUGACUAUUUAAGAAUAUUAACAACUCGGGCUCAUAGACAGGGUUGGGGAGAAACUGAUUGCAUGUAAUCAUGUACAUGUUAUCUGAUUACAAAAAAAGUAGUUCCAGCUAAAGUUGUAUAAUCAGAUUACAGAUACAUUUGAAAAACUAGAUGAUUACUCCUUGGAAUACUUGCUUGCGAAAAAAAAAAUACAUUGACCCUUUUACUGUUCUCAAUGACAUUCAAUUCAGCCUUGAAAAAAGGCUAAUUUAGCUUGUUCCACCUGAGCGAGUCUGACCAUGAAUCAGAGACCACAAUGACGACACAUCAAAUGCGUUUGAUGGAUAGUUUUGGUCUUCUAAUGCCUCUUAAGGGAAAAGUAAUACGAUUACAUUACUGAUUAUGGGUAAUCCAAAAUUACUGAUUACAAUUUUGGACAGGUAACUAGUAACUGUAACGGAUUAUAUUUAGUAAGUAACCUACCCAACUCUGCUUAUAGGCUAUAUGAUAGAGUGGCCCAAAGGUCAGUAUAUCAAAAACAAAUAUUGACUUGCACUUCAAUAAGCACUUCCCAUCAAAUUCCACCCAGAAAUGUAUCUAAUUUCAACCCCAUAAUUUGACCUUUAACCUUCAAUAAAUUACACAGCAGUACACAGUGCAUUCAUUUAAUCUGCAAUGUACCCAUGUGAACCAUAGAGAAAACAAUCACAGACAAAAUGGUCACCUUUCAAGCCCUUUAUUGGUGAAAUUUCAGCAUAAUUUCAAGAUGAUGUCAAGAGAAGGAGUGAGGUAGACUUGACACAGGUGAAA
Non-coding RNA from Salmo salar (Atlantic salmon), 2402 nucleotides. The record is from RefSeq and is a predicted model, not a curated record. NCBI's taxonomy places the organism in Eukaryota, Metazoa, Chordata, Actinopteri, Salmoniformes, Salmonidae.